UUGAAGAUGAAGUUGGUGU
RNAcentral lists this microRNA (19 nucleotides) under Gallus gallus (chicken). RNAcentral's name for it is "gga-miR-3526". Lineage: Eukaryota; Metazoa; Chordata; Aves; Galliformes; Phasianidae. The record is from miRBase by way of RNAcentral.